This 253-nucleotide ribosomal RNA is filed under the name uncultured bacterium. RNAcentral describes it as "partial 16S ribosomal RNA". It matches the Rfam family "Bacterial small subunit ribosomal RNA", at positions 524 to 776 of the family's 1533-position model. The record is from RNAcentral.
GACGUAGGUGGCGAACGUUAUCCGGAAUCAUUGGGCGUAAAGGGCGCGUAGGCGGCUCUGCACGUCCGUUGUGAAAUCGCCCGGCUCAACUGGGCGGGGUCAGCGGAUACGGCGGAGCUUGAGCAAGCUAGGGGGCAAUGGAAUUCCCGGUGUAGUGGUGGAAUGCGUAGAUAUCGGGAGGAACACCAGUGGCGAAGGCGGCAUCCUGGCCCUGACCUGACGCUCAGGGGCGAAAGCGUGGGGAGCAAACCGG